UUUUGGAAACCUAUUCAUUGAUUUAUGGGAAAACUUCAAAUACCCCACUUGUUGUUUCACUUUUUUUUCACUUUAGUACCCUGUGGUUUAAAGUGUAUUAAGUUAGUACCCUGUGGUUUCUCAUUUUAUCACUUUAGUAUCCUGUGGUUUAAAGUGUAUCAAGUUAGUACCUUAUAAUUUCGCACUUUAUCACUUUAGUACCCUGUGGUUUCGCACUUUAUCACUUUAGUACCGUGUGGUUUAAAAAGCAUAGGGUUCUAAUUUGAUACAAAAAUAAAAUCGCAAAAUACUAACGUGAUACGUUUUAAAUCAUGUGGUACUAAAGUGAUAAAGUGAGAAACCACAUGAUACUAACUUGAUACACUUUAAACCACAGGGUACUAAAAUGAAAAAAUACAAAACCACAGGAGAGGUUUUUGAAGUUUUCCCUUGAUUUAUAAUCUCAUGAUUGAUAUUUU
This 458-nucleotide long non-coding RNA is filed under the name Ananas comosus (pineapple). RNAcentral's name for it is "long non-coding RNA (ACOM_LNC036646)". The record is from RNAcentral. Lineage: Eukaryota; Viridiplantae; Streptophyta; Magnoliopsida; Poales; Bromeliaceae.